Molecule: ribosomal RNA, 1288 nt
Filed under: uncultured Bacteroidota bacterium
Lineage: Bacteria; Pseudomonadati; Bacteroidota
Description: uncultured Bacteroidetes bacterium partial small subunit ribosomal RNA
Rfam family: Bacterial small subunit ribosomal RNA
Source: RNAcentral
ACCUACCUUGUACAGGAGGAUAGCUCGGGGAAACCCGAAUUAACCCUCCAUAAGAUCAUAGAAUGGCAUCAUUUAGUGAUUAAAACUCAGGUGGUACAAGAUGGGCAUGCGUCUGAUUAGUUAGUUGGCGGUGUAACGGACCACCAAGACGAUGAUCAGUAGGGGAACUGAGAGGUUGAUCCCCCACACUGGCACUGAGAUACGGGCCAGACUCCUACGGGAGGCAGCAGUAGGGAAUAUUGGUCAAUGGAUGCAAGUCUGAACCAGCCAUGCCGCGUGCAGGAAGAAGGCCUUCUGGGUUGUAAACUGCUUUUGCCAGGGGAUAAAACGACCUUGCGAGGUUAAUUGAAGGUACCUGGUGAAUAAGCCACGGCUAACUACGUGCCAGCAGCCGCGGUAAUACGUAGGUGGCAAGCGUUGUCCGGAUUUAUUGGGUUUAAAGGGUGCGUAGGCGGCCCUGUAAGUCAGUGCUGAAAUAUCCCGGCUUAACCGGGAGGGUGGCAUUGAUACUGCAGGGCUUGAAUGAAGUUGAAGUGGGCGGAAUUGACGGUGUAGCGGUGAAAUGCUUAGAUAUCGUCAAGAACACCGAUAGUGAAGACAGCUCACUAAGCUUAUAUUGACGCUGAGGCACGAAAGCGUGGGGAUCAAACAGGAUUAGAUACCCUGGUAGUCCACGCCCUAAACUAUGGAUACUCGACAUACGCGAUACACUGUGUGUGUCUGAGCGAAAGCAUUAAGUAUCCCACCUGGGAAGUACGACCGCAAGGUUGAAACUCAAAGGAAUUGGCGGGGGUCCGCACAAGCGGAGGAGCAUGUGGUUUAAUUCGAUGAUACGCGAGGAACCUUACCAAGGCUUAAAUGUAGAUUGACAGGACCGGAAACGGUUUUUUCUUCGGACAAUUUACAAGGUGCUGCAUGGUUGUCGUCAGCUCGUGCCGUGAGGCGUCAGGUUAAGUCCUAUAACGAGCGCAACCCCUGUUGUUAGUUGCCAGCGAGUCAUGUCGGGAACUCUAGCAAGACUGCCAGUGCAAACUGUGAGGAAGGUGGGGAUGACGUCAAAUCAUCAUGCCCCUUAUGUCUUGGGCUGCACACAUGCUACAAUGGCCGGUACAAAGGGCUGCGAUACCGUGAGGUGGAGCGAAUCCCAAAAAGCCGGUCUCAGUUCGGAUUGGGGUCUGCAACUCGACCCCAUGAAGUUGGAGUCGCUAGUAAUCGCAGAUCAGCAACGCUGCGGUGAAUACGUUCCCGGGCCUUGUACACACCGCCCGUCACGUCACGAAAGUCGGUA